AACGAACGCUGGCGGCAUGCCUAACACAUGCAAGUCGAACGAAGGCUUCGGCCUUAGUGGCGCACGGGUGCGUAACGCGUGGGAAUCUGCCCUUUGCUUCGGAAUAACAGUUAGAAAUGACUGCUAAUACCGGAUGAUGUCGCAAGACCAAAGAUUUAUCGGCAAAGGAUGAGCCCGCGUAGGAUUAGCUAGUUGGUGGGGUAAAGGCCUACCAAGGCGACGAUCCUUAGCUGGUCUGAGAGGAUGAUCAGCCACACUGGGACUGAGACACGGCCCAGACUCCUACGGGAGGCAGCAGUGGGGAAUAUUGGACAAUGGGCGAAAGCCUGAUCCAGCAAUGCCGCGUGAGUGAUGAAGGCCUUAGGGUUGUAAAGCUCUUUUACCCGGGAUGAUAAUGACAGUACCGGGAGAAUAAGCUCCGGCGAACUCCGG
This 432-nucleotide ribosomal RNA is filed under the name uncultured bacterium. Its description in RNAcentral is "partial 16S ribosomal RNA". It matches the Rfam family "Bacterial small subunit ribosomal RNA", at positions 29 to 506 of the family's 1533-position model. The record is from RNAcentral.